GAAGACUGCUAGCUAUUGGAGUUGCUUGCUUGAAUGUGGCUAUCUUUAUUUGAUACCUUGAUCUUAAUGAUGUAUGGAUAUUACUUAUUGGUUAUUGAUCAUUGCUUGAUUAAAGUCCAAAGAAAAAUGGGUUUCUACAUGACAUUCUUGUCUGUUGGAUUACAUCCCACUGGUCAGAUUCUUCAAAUUUGGCAGCAUGGUCCGUAAUAGUCAUGUUACCCAGCUUCAGCUCCAUAAAUUCAAUCUCU
RNAcentral lists this long non-coding RNA (248 nucleotides) under Lathyrus oleraceus (garden pea). RNAcentral describes it as "Pisum sativum (pea) long non-coding RNA (PSAT_LNC006108)". Lineage: Eukaryota; Viridiplantae; Streptophyta; Magnoliopsida; Fabales; Fabaceae. The record is from RNAcentral.